AUUUAGGUAGCUUAAUAUUAAAGCUUAAUAUUGAAGAUAUUAAAAUGGAUAAUUUUCCCUUAAAUA
This 66-nucleotide transfer RNA is filed under the name Apolygus lucorum. RNAcentral describes it as "tRNA-Phe". Lineage: Eukaryota; Metazoa; Arthropoda; Insecta; Hemiptera; Miridae. The record is from RNAcentral.